GGGGAUUUAGCUCAGUGGCAUAAGCACCUGCCUUACAAGCAGACAGUCGUGAAUUCAAUCCCCG
Cavia porcellus (domestic guinea pig) is the source of this 64-nucleotide transfer RNA. It matches the Rfam family "tRNA". Rfam says of the family: Transfer RNA (tRNA) molecules are approximately 80 nucleotides in length. Their secondary structure includes four short double-helical elements and three loops (D, anti-codon, and T loops). Further hydrogen bonds mediate the characteristic L-shaped molecular structure. tRNAs have two regions of fundamental functional importance: the anti-codon, which is responsible for specific mRNA codon recognition, and the 3' end, to which the tRNAs corresponding amino acid is attached (by aminoacyl-tRNA synthetases). tRNAs cope with the degeneracy of the genetic code in two manners: having more than one tRNA (with a specific anti-codon) for a particular amino acid; and 'wobble' base-pairing, i.e. permitting non-standard base-pairing at the 3rd anti-codon position. The record is from Rfam. NCBI's taxonomy places the organism in Eukaryota, Metazoa, Chordata, Mammalia, Rodentia, Caviidae.